UAUUUUCAUGAUGGUAGGAGCAGCUCCUCUCGAACUCUCCUCUCCUCCUGCAGCCUCUUUUAUUAUCCUUUUGUCUCUCUCUCCAGCCGCAUGGCUGUUUGCCAGUGUCUCACGUUACCUCAUCCGGUCAAGGCUUUUAUUGCCCCCAACACCGUAUAAGGUCAAUCACUGCCCAGAGGAAACACAGCUCCAAUACAUUCCAAUACAUUGUAAAGCUCAGAGUGCUGGUCAGCCGAGGUCAGGGGGCACCCUGCAAUAUUACAAGCCUUUACCGUGGCUUUAUGACUCCCACAUGCCCUCUUUCUUUAUUUUAUAUCAGAGUCAAUACGCGAUAAGCGACUCUUGUGACACCGGAAGCGGGCCGCGGACUGGAGAACCAUGCAGUACAUAUAGAGAUUAUAGAAAGAAUACAUUGGAUACAGCAACACAAAAUAAUGCAAAUAACUACUAUAAUGAUCACUAAAAUCAAUAACUACUAUAAUGAUCACUAAAAUCCGGAAGCCAAGAAUAUAAGAAUUCUGAUUCCAAGCUGCAUGGUAGGCUUCCUUUUAGUUUAUUAGCCAUGCACUGGUGUCACUUCUAUAGCACUGAGAUUUGUCACUGUAUAUUCCUGUAAGAGAACAAGAGCUAUUAAAAGUGAAAUUCAAUGUAUAUUGACAGUUUGGAUAUAUGCCCCAUGAUUCUUUCCCCUCUUUAAUUUGAAAACAAAUGGGGGAAGGCUCAUGGAGGGUCAAUUAUACUGGAGGCCAAAAAGUUUGCUUAGGGGAUAUAACAUUAGUAAAUUGAAAAGAUCCAUUGACAGGCACACCAUGAAGCAUUAUGCCGGAAUGACUGGCAAAGGGCGGCAUGUGCAUACACAGCCAACACUUAGAAGCAUGCAAUAAACCGGUAAAAAUAAUCGUAUCUUGUACAAAAAUAUCAUCCCUCCAUAUCUUAUGAUAAUUUUCUCCCCUAAAAGUCUUAUUCAACAACGCUGUUCUUCUAGUUCGAAAAUGGCUGAGCCACGGAUACUGCCAGCCAGAGUAGGAAGCUGACGACAGCUGCUUGCCAGCCGAUGAGGUGAAAUAUGGUGGUUUCAACUGGACUGGUCGUCUGCUUCUCUUCCUUGUAUAACGGUGCAGCAAAGGAUGGCAAGGCAAUGGUUAGGAAGGCAAACACUGCCAGAUGCAGCUCGUGUGCAGCACCUCUAGGUGGCGCAUGCGGAAAGGUUUCAUUUUUUUUUUUUUUUAUAAAAUAUUUAUUGGUUUUACAAAAAAAAAUUUCCAAAAAAAUACAAAAUUACAAAAGUUCAACAAACAAAAAACAACAAUAACCAUGACAAAAAACAAACAGAAAUAACAGUAUCCAUAACAAAAAGAGAAAGAGGAAAAAAGGAAAAAGAGACAAAGAAAUUCAAAGAAUAUUAUACUUUCAUAUAUCCUUCUUAUCUUUACCUGGUUCUUUGACUUCCCCGCACCUCCCCGCUUGUAUUUCCAUUUAAGAACUCCUUUCAGCAAAUCCUUACCCUCCUUUCAUUAUCUUAACUCAGAAAACUUAAUCUAUUUAUAUAUAAAUAUUUUUACAACCUUAUCAGUCAAAUAUUCCAUACUCUUAAUCCCAAGGCUUUUGCCAAUACCAGUUAUUUUCAAUCAGACUUCAAUUUAACAUUCAUUGAUUUUAUAGUAUUUCUGUAGAUAGACUUUAAAUUUCUUCCAAUCUUCUUCCACCGACUCUUCUCCCUGGUCACGGAUUCUGCCAGUCAUCUCCGCCAGUUCCAUAUAUUCGAUUACCUUCAUCUGCCAUUCUUCCAGAGUGGGUAAGUCUUGUGUCUUCCAAUACUUUGCGAUGAGUAUUCUUGCUGCUGCUGUUGCAUACAUAAAGAAAGUUCUAUCUUUCUUUGGCACCAAUUGGCCAACAAUGCCCAAGAGGAAGGCCUCUGGUUUCUUUAAGAAGGUAUACUUAAAUACCUUUUUCAACUCAUUAUAUAUCAUUUCCCAGAAGGCCUUAAUCUUUGGGCACGUCCACCAAAGGUGAAAGAAUGUACCUUCAGUUUCCUUACAUUUCCAACAUUUAUUAUCGGGCAAAUGGUAGAUUUUUGCAAGCUUAACUGGGGUCAUGUACCACCUGUACACCAUUUUCAUAAUAUUCUCUUUUAAAGCAUUACAUGCUGUGAACUUCGUACCUGUGGUCCAUAACCAUUCCCAGUCAGCAAACAUAAUGUUAUGUCCAAUAUCCUGUGCCCAUUUAAUCAUAGCAGAUUUUACCGUUUCAUCCUGAGUAUUCCAUUUUAGCAGCAAGUUAUACAUUCUUGAAAGUGUUUUAGUUUUGGAAUCUAGCAGUUCUGUUUCCAACUUUGAUUUUUCCACCUGGAAGCCAAUUUUUCUAUCCAAAUUAUAAACCUCUCUUAUUUGGUAGUAAUGCAACCAGUCUCGCACUCUGUCUUUUAAUUUUUCAAAACUCUGCAAUUUGAAUUUAUCUCCUUCUUGUUCCAAGAUCUCCCAAUAUUUUGGCCACUUGGCCUCCAUAUUGGACUUUUUUAGGGCCUUUGCCUCCAUUGGUGAUAGCCACCUUGGGGUUUUGUUCUCCAAUAAGUCUUUGUAUCUUAUCCAGACAUUAAACAAUGCUUUCCUGACAAUAUGGUUUUUAAAUAUUUUGUGAGCUUUCACCUUGUCAUACCACAAAUAUGCAUGCCACCCAAACACAUUAUUAAAUCCUUCUAAGUCCAAAACAUCAGUAUUUUCCAGAAGUAGCCAAUCCUUCAACCAGCAGAAAGCUGCUGAUUCAUAAUAAAGUUUAAGGUCUGGCAGGGCAAAUCCCCCUCUUUCUUUAGCAUCAGUCAAUAUUUUAAAUUUUAUCCUAGGCCUCUUGCCCUGCCAGACAAACUUAGAAAUAUCUCUCUGCCACUUCUUAAAACAGUCCAUUUUGUCUAUUAUUUGUAUCGAUUGAAACAAAAACAGCAUUCUUGGCAAUACAUUCAUCUUGAUGACAGCAAUUCGACCUAACAAGGAAAGCUUCAAGUUUGUCCAUAUUUCUAAAUCUUUUUUAAUGUCCGACCAACACUUUUCAUAAUUGUCUUUAAAUAAAUUCCCAUUUUUAGCUGUCAUGUGAAUCCCCAAAUAUUUCACUUUUUUACCACUGUUAAACCUGUCUCAUUCUGAAACCUCUCUUUUUCUAUCGGUGUUAAAUUCUUCUCAAGUACUUUAGUUUUAAACUUAUUCAGCUUAAAACCUGCCACCUGACCAAACUCUUGAAUCAGUUCUAAUGCUCUUUUCGUACUAGAUUCUGGCUCCUGUAAUGUCAGUACAAGGUCAUCUGCAAAUGCUUUCAGUUUAUAUUGUUUCGCUCCGACCGUUAUGCCCUUAAUCAGAUGGUCCCUUCUUAUCAUAUUUAACAAAACCUCCAGAACAGAAAUAAAAAGUAGUGGGGAAAUUGGGCAGCCUUGUCGUGUCCCUUUCUCUAUCUUAAUUUCCUCUGUUAUCACAUUAUUAACUAUUAAUUUAGCUUUUUGUUCUGAAUAAAUUGCAUUUAUACCAUUUUCAAACUCUUGGCCUACCCCCAUCCCCUGAAGAUUUUUUUCAUAAAACUCCAAGAAAUAUUGUCAAAGGCUUUCUCUGCAUUCACAAAAAUCAAAACUGCUUUAGUGUUGAUCUCCUCUUGCAGCUUCUCCAGAAUAUCAAUUACGUUCCUUGUGUCUAUCUGGAAGAAAGCCAGCUUGGUCCUUGUGAAUCACUCCUUUUAACACUUUUUUAAGCCUUUUUGCUAAAAUAUCAGCAAAAAUUUUGUAAUCCACAUUUAACAGGGAUAUGGGCCGGUAGUUCUUAAGCUGUGUCUUUUCAGUCUCAGCCUUUGGUAUAAGUGUAAUAAAUGCGUCUUUCCACGACUCUGGCGCUCUUUUCCCCUCUAAAAUUUCAUUACAAACCUCAGUUAAAGGUCGAAUUAACCAGUCUUUCAAAGUUCUGUAAUAUUUUGAGGUUAAACCAUCCGGUCCUGGAGAUUUUCCCAACUGCAUAUUCUGAAUGGCACCUUCAACCUCCUGUUCUGUAAUUUUAUAGUUCAACAAUAUCUUGUUGUCCUGAGCAAUUUUUGUAAUCCAUUGGUUUUCAAAAAUUGCUCUAUCUCAAAUUCUUUCUGAGGCCCUUGUGUGUAUAGUCGUUUAAAAUAUCUCUGGAAGCAUUUCCUAAUUUCUUCUGGAUUCUGGAUAUUUUUCCCUUCCACUUCCAAAUUAGUAAUAGUAUUAAGUUUUUGUCGCUUCUUCAACUGCCAGGCCAGCAGUUUCCCACAUUUAUUUGCCGAUUCAAAAGUCUUUUGUCUCAUUUGCUUAAUUUUCCAUUCCACUUCUUGAUUUAUCAAUUUCAUAUAUUGCACUUGGUACAAUUUUAUUUCCCUCAGAAUCUCUUGUGAAUUGGGCUUCACUCUCAAUUUCUUCUCGCCCUCCUUUAUUUUUUCCAAAAAUUUUUCUUUCUUUACGUUUUGGGCCUUCUUCUUAAUUGAAUUCUGUUGAAUCAGGAAGCCCCUCAUAACAGCUUUGCUGCAUGCGGAAAGGUUUCAAUGCUUCACCCACAAAAUGUUGACAAAGUGUAGGGGAGUUCCACAUGCCUUGAGGCAGGACAACCCACUGAUGUCGCUGGGUGGGCUGCGGAUUGUUAUAUACUGGCAAUGUAAAAGCAAACCGUUCCCUGUCUGCUGGAGCCAGUGGGAUGAAGAU
Non-coding RNA from Podarcis lilfordi (Lilford's wall lizard), 4684 nucleotides. The record is from the annotation of a GenBank genome assembly. NCBI's taxonomy places the organism in Eukaryota, Metazoa, Chordata, Lepidosauria, Squamata, Lacertidae.